This 103-nucleotide ribosomal RNA is filed under the name Cortinarius neofurvolaesus. RNAcentral's name for it is "partial 28S ribosomal RNA". It matches the Rfam family "Eukaryotic large subunit ribosomal RNA", at positions 1 to 100 of the family's 3401-position model. The record is from RNAcentral. Lineage: Eukaryota; Fungi; Basidiomycota; Agaricomycetes; Agaricales; Cortinariaceae.
AUGUGACCUCAAAUCAGGUAGGACUACCCGCUGAACUUAAGCAUAUCAAUAAGCGGAGGAAAAGAAACUAACAAGGAUUCCCCUAGUAACUGCGAGUGAAGCG